Triticum dicoccoides is the source of this 3369-nucleotide long non-coding RNA. RefSeq lists it as uncharacterized. The record is from RefSeq and is a predicted model, not a curated record. The transcript has 2 exons. Lineage: Eukaryota; Viridiplantae; Streptophyta; Magnoliopsida; Poales; Poaceae.
GCCACCAGCCCACGACCCUUCCUCUCUCGAUCUCAUCUGGACCUCCUGCUCCGCCCCGCCCCGCCCCUCACCGCCGUCCGCGGCCGCGCGCCGCCGCCCCCUACUCCGCCGGCGCGCCUACCCAUUACCCCAAGUGCCAACACACCCGCGCCCAUCGACUACGGGCGACCCGCGGCCUUCCACCGCCGGCGACGCUCGACGUCGCGGCCAUUGGCGGCUCCCCGGCCCUGCUACCAUGGCGCCUCCGGGACUCCUCCCCGCUCCUUCCACCUCGACAUUGGUUUUCCCAACCCCGCCGGCUUCGCCACCAGCCACUCCUUCCAGGCGCACUCUAUCCGCCGUCGUCGGACCCAUCCGACUGGUUCCAAUGGCGAACAUCGACGCGAUUCACCCGCCCACCAUCAGAUGCGACAGCAAAUCCAUAGCCCCUGGCCACCCCCUCCGCCGCCGGCGCCGGUGCCUCGAAGGUCAAGGGAAGACCCCCUACUCGGCCCCCAUCGCCGUCCGCGCCGCCGCCCUUUGCCGCCGCCACCACCGCCACCACCGCCGUCCAAAUCGCCGCCCCCAUAGCCGUCCAAACUACUCUCCGCAACACCUCUCCAUCCCACAGCUGCCGAAGACAGGGAGGAGGACGAGGCUGGCUAGGCAGGGAGGCCGAAGGUGAAGUGCAGUGGGAGGCACAUUGGUUUGUGCAGAGGGAGGUCUAUGGUCAGCUCAUUGGAAUCUCACAGGCCACCACGGGGAGAGCAAUCACGCAGGCACAUCAACCUCCCCCGCCAGGUAUGUUCAAUUGAACCUUCACUAUUAGUUGAGCUAACCGUCUCCAACAGCAACGUCCCAAUCACAAAUAAUUAUUUAGGUUUCUUACUGUGUGCGUGGAUGUGGCAUUGGAAGGAUAGAUGGCAGUACUCGUGUGGAUGCAACAACUGACUGUUAGUUUGUUCAUUCAGAGACUACCACGAACCAGUUUGAUUUGUGCUAUAAUGCUCUUGCAAAUAAUUAUAGAUGUUGGUGAAAACUGCAGAUGUUGUGGUGUUCAGGAAGGACCGUAGAUACAGCAGCGGUCCAUCCGCAACCGCGGCCACGGGUGCCUAAUCUAAGGCGACCUCCUGUUUUGACAUCGUCCUUGGUAGCUGCAAGCGUGGAAACAACCUUGGCAGUGCAGCGGCAGCCACAAGGUUGUUCCUAGACCACUCCACCUCUGAACUGUACAAUCUGCUGUGCUUUCUAGCUAUUCUAUUUAUAUGUAGCCAUACAUUGGUACAGUUAAUUCAUAAACAUGAUUCAAUAGGAUUUGAUAUUUUUUCAUGUCUCAAGUUUUUAGCUCUUCCCUCUUGGUGUGCAAAUCUUUUAGAGGGAAUUUGGUGUGCCAAUUAUUUUCCUGAUUACUGUAGUUAUAGUUUUUCUCACUGUUAGAGCAGAGUAAAAUUCAAACUAUGAUAUUAGUGGUGGUUAGCUGAUAACUUGAUCAUAACAGGGGGCACACUAAUCUUCUUUCUUUUCUUCUCUAACAAAGUCUUAAUAUUAUAAGAAUGUUGUUUUCUUCUUUCAUAAUCUGACAAAUAAAAUUUCCCCUAAUUUCAGUUUGGAUAAGUCAAGGUUGCUUUUGGAUCUUAGUAGAAGAUAGACGUUAUGGAUUUAGACAAAAAUAGAUGUGGAUUUAGGGGUUCCGUAUGAUACUCAUGUCUUCUCUAUUUGGGGUACAAGUUCAAGUGAUCUUUUAGGCUACUAUUGAAGGGAAAUAUGUAUGCCGUUUUGUUCAUUUCAUCUCCACCUACCCACCUCGCAUCUACACAAUCCAACUACUUAAAGGAACAUACAGUUCUAGAAGUGAGAACUGUUGAGCUAUUAUAGCGCAGUUUUGGGAUGAUGGAUGUUCAGGCCAGCUAUGCAGACCUUAAGGUAAAUGUUUUUCCAGCUAAUUAACAUGAAAUGUCUUGUAACUUGAACUAAUAAUGAACAACUGAGGAAUGCUGCCUGAAUGAAUCCAAAAUGUGUUGGAAACACCAACGUCCAGUUGGAGAGGGAGCUAUCUGGAUCUCCAUCCAACUAGGACAUGUCUGCUUACAACUUUUUGUUGAACAUGAUAUUACAUGAUUCUAUCAAAGAUAACUCUCCUUUCUUCAGUGUACAUGCAUGAUAUUACAUGAUUAAACAUACCAUUUUUAACUUCAUUUAGUUGUCUAUAUUAUGCUCUAUGUGCUAUCACCAACAAAAAUAGUGUUACCUCCGUACCAGGCCUACCAAAUAUCUUAUAUUUUGGUACACAUGUAGUAUUUUUAGCCUGCAAAGCGACUCCUAUGCCCAGUGUGCCAAUAAUGUGUUUGCACCAGUGAAGAGAUAACUUAUUUUUUACAUUGUAAGAAAUACAUCCUGUUUCUUCCCCAUCAUUUAAGUGUGUGGCAUGCUAUCUUUGUUCAUGUUGCUGGCUGUACAUUUUCAGUAUUGUCAGGAUAUAUCUGAUUAUGAUGAUGUUCAGUACUACUUUGGAGCCGCAACUUUUUGGACUGCUUGAUGUUUAUAACCAAUGAGACUACUUUUUUGGUUGUUGGCUGGAGCUAUCACUAUGACUGGAUUUGUUUUCACCCAAGUAGAUGUAUAUGGUCAUCAAAAACCAACGACAGGUCAACACUUGUCAGCAGUUUGCAAUUUGUAUUACAGUAUGCCUAAGCCAAUGGUCAGACAAUGUUGUUUUAGUUAGGAAAUGUAGAAAAUGUGGUCAUGAUUUAUGUAGAUUCGACAGUCCCUUCAAACUGCAGUCUUCAACCUUGAGUGGACCAUCUAACUAUAUGUUUCCUUGUAGAAAAUUGACUAUAUGUUCCAUGAAUUGACUGAUUAUUUUGGCCCGAUCAGAUUAAACUAGGUCUUGAUUUGAAGGUCCAGCUAAGGCAGCUGGUGCUGGUUUAUUUGUUGUAAUACUAACUGUGCUAUUUAGACAGAGACAUGUGGUCUUUCUCAUUCCUCGAAAUUUUCCUUUGCUACCAAGAUUUUCCAUUCUAGGUUGUGGAAAAAUACAUGUAGCAUUCCUUCUACAAGUCGUCAUGAGCUGGGACAUAGAAGAAGAGAGCCGACGAGAAGUCGCACAGCGGUUCGCUCCGGUGUGGCUGCCAAUGGCGUUGCGCAAAGUGCAGAUUACAGGCUAGAUGCGUACGAGUCCGUCCCUACUUCCACGACGUGGAAGCAAAGGAAAUCGAGUCAAUUAGAUAGUAUAUUUGGUUAUGUAAGUUGUCUUUUGUGUAUGCAGUUUUACCAUUAUUUUGUAAAAGCUUUGAGUUUUUGAUAAUGUAAUUGUCUUACUAAUCACACUUUUAAUCUAUUCGUGCCAAGGCUAACAGCCAAGUUAUGCACAAGCUGUUGAUGUUUCCUUGA